This 253-nucleotide ribosomal RNA is filed under the name uncultured bacterium. RNAcentral describes it as "partial 16S ribosomal RNA". It matches the Rfam family "Bacterial small subunit ribosomal RNA", at positions 524 to 776 of the family's 1533-position model. The record is from RNAcentral.
UACGUAGGGUGCUAGCGUUAAUCGGAAUUACUGGGCGUAAAGCGUGCGCAGGCGGUUUUGUAAGACAGAUGUGAAAUCCCCGGGCUUAACCUGGGAACUGCAUUUGUGACUGCAAGACUAGAGUACGGCAGAGGGGGGUAGAAUUCCACGUGUAGCAGUGAAAUGCGUAGAUAUGUGGAGGAAUACCGAUGGCGAAGGCAGCCCCCUGGACUGACACUGACACUGAGGCACGAAAGCGUGGGGAGCAAACAGG